AACGAACGCUGGCGGCAGGCCUAACACAUGCAAGUCGAACGCCCCGCAAGGGGAGUGGCGCACGGGUGAGUAACGCGUGGGAAUAUGCCCUUCGGUUCGGAAUAACACAGGGAAACUUGUGCUAAUACCGGAUACGAUCUACGGAUGAAAGAUUUAUCGCCGAGGGAGUAGCCCGCGUAGGAUUAGCUAGUUGGUGAGGUAAUGGCUCGCCAAGGCGACGAUCCUUAGCUGGUCUGAGAGGAUGAUCAGCCACACUGGGACUGAGACACGGCCCAGACUCCUACGGGAGGCAGCAGUGGGGAAUAUUGAGCAAUGGGCGCAAGCCUGAUGCAGCAACGCCGCGUGAGGGAUGACGGCCUUCGGGUUGUAAACCUCUUUUAGUAGGGAAGAAGCGAAAGUGACGGUACCUGCAGAAAAAGCACCGGCUAACUACGUGCCAGCAGCCGCCGUAA
RNAcentral lists this ribosomal RNA (452 nucleotides) under uncultured bacterium. Its description in RNAcentral is "partial 16S ribosomal RNA". It matches the Rfam family "Bacterial small subunit ribosomal RNA", at positions 29 to 523 of the family's 1533-position model. The record is from RNAcentral.